RNAcentral lists this long non-coding RNA (1626 nucleotides) under Sus scrofa (pig). RNAcentral describes it as "lncRNA (ENSSSCG00050058972.1)". The record is from RNAcentral. Lineage: Eukaryota; Metazoa; Chordata; Mammalia; Artiodactyla; Suidae.
CUGCGAGAUGUGGUGAAGGAAUUCAAGCCACUGCAAAGCAAACCCUUAAUGUGGCAGACCUCUGGGCAGACACAAGCAUGAAGAGGACAAACCAGGCACUUCAGAAAGCACAUGGUGAUCGCUGUCGAGGAGGGGCUCUCAUGUAAAUACAAGGCAGUGCUACUAUUACUGUUCAUGGUUAUAGUGCCGCUUCUGAAAAUAGCAGCCUAAGAGGUCAGCAGAACUGUUUGAGAAGGAAGGCAGGAAAUUGAUUUGUAAGCAUCAUCAAAACUCCGUUGGUUUCCGCUUCCUCUUUCAGACUGACCACAUGGUUUUCAAGAGGAUGAGAAAGCAGUUUGUCGUAGCGGUUAGGUGCUCCAGAUGUCAGAUCACCUGCUUCACGAUUUCAGCUGAGACUUGCAAAUUCAUUUCGUCCAUGUCCAUAAGCUAAUUUCAAGACUUAGUCCCCGAAGCAAAACUGAAGGCUAUAAAAAUACCCCCCCGGUACAUCUUCUGAGCUGAAAGACAUACGCUGCAGGCCUGUUUUCAUGGUUAGGACCGCUUCUACUUUGGGGCUGCCCCGGAAUUUUCAGAAAUGACUGGGAAGAUCCAAGGGACCCACAGAGAUUCGCCAGGAGCAGCUGGCUUCGUUUCCCUGCAGUAUCCUGUGGAGAGGCAGGAAAGCUAUAUAUGUAUAUGCACACACGGAUUUAUGAAAGCGGUGUACACGCUGUAAUGGAAAUGGAGCACCGGCCUUCAAAAGAGAAACCGUCCCUAUGAAAAAGAUAAAUUUACAAAAAGAAACUCUUUUCCAGCAAGAGUUCGGGGAUGAGACCGUCUCAUCACAAGUUUAAAUACAUUAAAGAAUUUUAUUUGCCAUCUGAGCUGCUAUUUCAAAGCCAAAAUGUGAGCCCAUUGUGGGAAUUGUAGCAACAACUGAACUUUGCUGACUUCUGAAAGGGGAUUCUGGGUCUCCCUAGGCCUUUUGAAGUUCCAUUUUGCUUUGUCUUCAGAUGCCUGGACAUAAUCAGCCCAUUGAGGCCUUGAGCUGUCUCAUGAACGCAAGCAUUUGCUCACAAUUCACUAUCAGGGCUGGAGACAAGGAGAGGUUCAGAUCCCUUUGACACCAGGGCGCCUGGUCAGGAAGUUCUCAGAUGGGCAGCAGUGUGAACUUUCAGCGGAACUGCUGCCCAGUGGGUCGCCCGUCCUUUCAAUCUCCAUUGGCUCAGGUCUUCAAAGGCUGGGGGCAUCUGUGUGGCUGACCUGACACAUCUCUUUCCCAUGGGAUGAUGGGGGUGGAGGGGAUUGAAAUGACUUACCUUCGCUUCUCAAGUUUGAGUCAGAGCAUGUGUGAGACCCCCAAAGAUCAAACAACCCCCCCCCAGUUGCCCCCUCGUUGCAGUGGUCACUGAAGGAGCAUCUUCUUGUGCACACACACUUACAUGAGUGCAAACACUGUCCUUCAAUCAUUAUAACAGCCGUGUAGGCAAUUUAAGAUGAGGGCACUGAGUGAAUUCACUCAAGAACACACAACUAGCAGGAGAGCUGGGAUUUGAACUCAGGUAGCUCUGUCUUCCUAUCCAUUCCCUGCUAUAGUGCCCAAGGCUAGGGAAUAAAAUCAGAGACCUAGCUAUGUAGAGAGUAGUG